GAUGAACGCUAGCGGCAGGCCUAACACAUGCAAGUCGAGGGGCAGCGCGGUGUAGCAAUACACUGGCGGCGACCGGCGCACGGGUGCGUAACGCGUAUGCAACCUACCCACUCCCGGGGGAUAGCCCGCCGAAAGGCGGAUUAAUACCCCAUGGACCCUUAGCCCCGCAUGGGGCGGAGGGUAAAGCUCCGGCGGGAGUGGAUGGGCAUGCGUGCCAUUAGCUAGCUGGCGGGGUAACGGCCCACCAGGGCUACGAUGGCUAGGGGGUCUGAGAGGAUGAUCCCCCACACUGGUACUGAGACACGGACCAGACUCCUACGGGAGGCAGCAGUGAGGAAUAUUGGUCAAUGGGCGGAAGCCUGAACCAGCCAUGCCGCGUGCAGGACGACGGCCCUACGGAUUGUAAACUGCUUUUCCGGGGGAAGAAUAAGGCCCAUGCGUGGGCCGAUGCCGGUACCCCGGGAAUAAGGAUCGGCUAACUCCGUG
This 486-nucleotide ribosomal RNA is filed under the name uncultured bacterium. RNAcentral's name for it is "bacterial SSU rRNA". It matches the Rfam family "Bacterial small subunit ribosomal RNA", at positions 28 to 507 of the family's 1533-position model. The record is from RNAcentral.